Molecule: unclassified non-coding RNA, 337 nt
Filed under: soil metagenome
Description: partial contains 5.8S ribosomal RNA, internal transcribed spacer 2, and large subunit ribosomal RNA
Rfam family: 5.8S ribosomal RNA (bases 1-120)
Source: RNAcentral
GAUGAAGAACGCAGCGAAAUGCGAUAAGUAAUGCGAAUUGCAGAUUUCAGUGAGUCAUCGAAUCUUUGAACGCACAUUGCGCCCGCCAGUAUUCUGGCGGGCAUGCCUGUUCGAGCGUCAUUUCAACCAUCAAGCCCCCGGGCUUGCGUUGGGGCCCUGCGGCUGCCGCAGGCCCCGAAAAGCAGUGGCGGGCUCGCUGUCACACCGAGCGCAGUAGCGAUUCUCGCUCCGGGCGUCGGCGGCGGGCACCGGCCGUGAAACCCCACCACAUCCACAAGGUUGACCUCGGAUCAGGUAGGAAUACCCGCUGAACUUAAGCAUAUCAAUAAGCGGAGGA